CUACUGAAAUAGAACUCCCAGGAGGUAACAGCGUGUCACACAUGUGAUGUCAUAACCAUUGUCCACCAAAGAGCAGCAAUGAGCAGAAAUAACACGGCUCCUGUUCAUUCUCCAUCAGUGAGGGGCCGGUGCUGGACACUGUGUAGGGACGCGGGAAUGCAAAGUCAUGCACAUGACUGUGACUGAUGCACUAUCUCCAGGACAUGGAGUAGCAUUUCCGGACCUACAGCAAGACGUUGGAUGAAGGCAUAGCCCCAGAAAUAACACUGGUCCUGUUCAUCAGUGAGGGGCCGGUGCUGGACACUGUGUAGGGACGCGGGAAUGCAAAGUCAUGCACAUGACUGUGACUGAUGCACUAUUUCCAGGACAUGGAGUAGCAUUUCGGGACCUACAGCAAGACGUUGGAUGAAGGCAUAGCCCCAGAAAUAACACUGGUCCUGUUCAUCAGUGAGGGGCCGGUGCUGGACACUGUGUAGGGACGCGGGAAUGCAAAGUCAUGCACAUGACUGUGACUGAUGCACUAUUUCCAGGACAUGGAGUAGCAUUUCGGGACCUACAGCAAGACGUUGGAUGAAGGCACAGGCCUAGGAAUCAUGCACAUACACAGAAACAUUUGCCCAAAUUCUAGAGGUAACCUCCUUUAGUAUGCCCAGAGGAAGGGCCAUACAGUAGCCAUGGAUUCCCUACAGGUUUCCUCCCCUCUGGAGGUUUUUCCUGUCCUGAGUAUUAGUUACUGUCCGCUCUUUGUGAGUGAUGGGAGGUUACAAAAAAUCCCCUACACAAACAUUUUAAUAAAUAAUAAAUAAAGUUCCCCUUUUUUUAAACUGUU
This is a long non-coding RNA of Hyla sarda, 829 nucleotides long. RefSeq lists it as uncharacterized. The transcript is spliced from 4 exons. The record is from RefSeq and is a predicted model, not a curated record. NCBI's taxonomy places the organism in Eukaryota, Metazoa, Chordata, Amphibia, Anura, Hylidae.